This 838-nucleotide small RNA is filed under the name Pan troglodytes (chimpanzee). RNAcentral's name for it is "processed transcript". The stretch from base 1 to 127 matches the Rfam family "Small nucleolar RNA SNORA58". Lineage: Eukaryota; Metazoa; Chordata; Mammalia; Primates; Hominidae. The record is from RNAcentral.
CGUAGACCUUGUCUGACUGUGCUCAUGGCCAGGCAGGGGGGACAGUGUAUGCAAGAGUAAUGUGGAGUUUGUGCUAACUCUAGCCAGCUUAAUUAGUGACUGGAUAAAUUGCACAACUCUCACAUUCUUCUGUUUUUUCCUCCGUGGAAAUAGUACUCAUGCUGGGGAAUGAGUGACAUUGAAUCUCUGCUCUUUUUUUCCCUCUUUUCUAGGAUUACUACAGCAUCCCAUUUCCCACACCCACUACUCCGCUGACUGGGAGGGAUGGUAGCCUGGCCAGCAACCCUUAUUCUGGUGACCUCACAAAGUUUGGCCGUGGGGAUGCCUCCUCCCCAGCCCCGGCCACAACCUUGGCCCAACCCCAACAGAACCAGACGCAGACUCACCAUACCACGCAGCAGACAUUCCUGAACCCGGCGCUGCCUCCUGGCUACAGUUACACCAGCCUGCCAUACUAUACAGGGGUCCCGGGCCUCCCCAGCACCUUCCAGUAUGGGCCUGCUGUGUUCCCUGUGGCUCCUACCUCUUCCAAGCAGCAUGGUGUGAAUGUCAGUGUGAAUGCAUCGGCCACCCCUUUCCAACAGCCGAGUGGAUAUGGGUCUCAUGGAUACAACACUGGAAGAAAAUAUCCACCCCCUUACAAGCAUUUCUGGACGGCUGAGAGCUAAUUUGGCCCAAGGCUGGGGGCUGUGUUUUGUGUGUGUGUAUAAAUUUGCACUGAAGUCUUGUUUCAGAAACCAGACCACUGAGGAGAGCCUGCUGAGCUGAGGCCAUGGCCUGCGUGGCUUGGGGAAAUGAGUUGGUGGAUACCUUCUGGGCUUUUGAACUUGCCCCUCCC